Molecule: long non-coding RNA, 1049 nt
Filed under: Chinchilla lanigera (long-tailed chinchilla)
Lineage: Eukaryota; Metazoa; Chordata; Mammalia; Rodentia; Chinchillidae
Description: lncRNA (ENSCLAG00000024583.1)
Source: RNAcentral
GCCGUAACAGCUCCUGUCCUUGUCCCCUUGAGGGAUUUGCUUAGGACACCUGAGAUGGAUUUCCCAGCCUCAUUCUCCCUCUCCUGGACUAACACCGUGGGGUCCCUGGGUCACCUGCCUCGCUGCCCUCCUGGGCCCCGGGACUCAGAUGAGCACUUACCCUUCCACCCCAGUGCCCUCUACUGACUAGGACACGGUCCUGGCUUGGCCUUGGAGGCAGAAGACGAGGGAUGCAGUGACACCCCAUUGGCAAGCUGUCCCCCUAUGACCGCAGGGCCUGCCCCCUCUCUUCUCCUGGCUGCUUGAGGAUCGAGUGGGUGCUGGGGCUCCCACGCAUGUCUUGAGCACCUGAGAUGUGCACACAUCUGAUGCGCUCCGAUCAGGAGGUGCUCUGGAAGAGCUUUGCUGUCUCCCACGUUCCUUCCAGCAGCCUCCUAGGUAGACAUCGUGUCCACGGUGCAGGUUGGGGAGCUGACUUUCACAGCGCCCCUCUGCUUCUCCCGAGAUCCCAGGAGUCGAUAAAAACUGGGAUCAGGAACGAAGCCUGGCUCUGUCCUUGGAGCCUGAGCCCCAGCGUGCCUGGUCCCUGCAGGGCAGAAGGGGGUGGAUGUUGCCAUGGAAACGACUGGGGGAAUCACAGCACAAGGGCGCAGGAAGGUGAGCCGGGUGGCAGCCCUGCCUGCCGGCCCUCACUUGUGUGUGAGCUGGAAACCACCCAGGCACACCUAGGCAGGUGCUGCCCCUCCCCCAGGUGGAGGAAGCAGGAAAAGGUGGCAGCCAGAGGCAGCGGGCGAGGCUGCUGGGCAGUGGUGACCAGGGCCUCGGCGAGGAUGGGCUUGAUCUGCACCCUGGCUCUGCCUCUUCUUCUCCUCUGCUGGGAGGCUGGAGACUCCCGGGGAUUUACAGGUGCAGAUGGAGACUUCCUCCUCCUGAGGCUGAAGGUGGCCUCGCUGGAAGACCUCACAGAGCCUACAAGGGCGGAGAGGCUGGUGCAGCAGGGUCUCUCUGCUGAAGUUCCUGACCCCAUCCCAUCUUCCCUGAGGAAGUGA